GGAGAUCGGGCAGGGCCACGCCUUGUUGAAUGAUCGUGAUAUGUUGGUGGUUUGCCCCGUCCGUGUCGUUUGAGGACCGUACCUUUGUGGCACACUAAUCGGGGAUUGAACAAUAGUAAUUCACAUGAUGGGAGUAGGAGGUAGUGGAAACCGGUAAGCUUAGUACUUGAUUCGCUACGGGGUGUGAACUCCUACCCACCACCUUUGGGCAGUUGGUGUAACCACGAAGCACAGGUGCAUCUGGGGUCUUACGUAGGGCCCAAGUUGGCUGUGGUUUGGUGGGGUAGUUCAGACGUUCGAGGGCGAAGCUGGGAACGGACUGAUGUUGGUGGCCUUUAUGGUGCCUGUGUGUGUGAUUUGGUUUACCUUGCAAGGGAUAAAAUCGAAUCGAUUCAUUGUGACUCGUGGAUACGAGAGCCUUGAUCUUUCUGUCUCAUCGUAGUAAAGAAGUGGAACAUGAUGAUGAUGAUGGUUAUUAAUGUUACUUACCUAAUAAAUUGUUUACUACACUGAAUUGUUGUGUUUAUGCAAAUCUAGAGAAUAGUUUCCCUCAUUUAAAAUUUGGCUAAAAUACUAAAAGCAAGGACUCACUCUUAGUUGCUCUUUGGCAAAAUAAACCCAACAACCAAAAAGCCUUGCAUACUAGGAGUCGGCUAAGUAUAUAUCAUAGUCGGUAAGCCUUGCUGAGUAUUAGUCUACUCAGGGUUGUGGUUGUGACCCUAUUUCAGGUGGAGUUGCUUCGUUUUGAUGGCACAUCAGUGGGCUCAGUGUGUUAUCCUCAGGUCGUCGACAUUUCUAGCUUCAGUCAAUCUUAUUUUAUCCCAGGUUCAGUUUUCUUUCCGCAUUGCUAUUUUAAAC
This 858-nucleotide long non-coding RNA is filed under the name Setaria viridis. RNAcentral's name for it is "long non-coding RNA (SVIR_LNC000325)". Lineage: Eukaryota; Viridiplantae; Streptophyta; Magnoliopsida; Poales; Poaceae. The record is from RNAcentral.